GGGAAACCGGAGACUAAUACCGGAUAAUAUUUUGAACCGCAUGGUUCAAAAGUAAAAGACGGUCUUGCUGUCACUUAUAGAUGGAUCCGCGCUGCAUUAGCUAGUUGGUAAGGUAACGGCUUACCAAGGCAACGAUGCAUAGCCGACCUGAGAGGGUGGUCGGCCACACUGGAACUGAGACACGGUCCAG
Molecule: ribosomal RNA, 190 nt
Filed under: uncultured Staphylococcus sp.
Lineage: Bacteria; Bacillati; Bacillota; Bacilli; Caryophanales; Staphylococcaceae
Description: partial 16S ribosomal RNA
Rfam family: Bacterial small subunit ribosomal RNA
Source: RNAcentral